AGCAGCCGCCGCGGUAACACGUAGGUGGCAAGCGUUAUCCGGAAUUAUUGGGCGCAAAGCGCGCGUAGGCGGUUUUUUAAGUCUGAUGUGAAAGCCCACGGCUCAACCGUGGAGGGUCAUUGGAAACUGGAAAACUUGAGUGCAGAAGAGGAAAGUGGAAUUCCAUGUGUAGCGGUGAAAUGCGCAGAGAUAUGGAGGAACACCAGUGGCGAAGGCGACUUUCUGGUCUGUAACUGACGCUGAUGUGCGAAAGCGUGGGGAUCAAACAGGAUUAGAUACCCCGUAGUCCCUGUCUCUUAUACA
Molecule: ribosomal RNA, 303 nt
Filed under: uncultured bacterium
Lineage: Bacteria
Description: partial 16S ribosomal RNA
Rfam family: Bacterial small subunit ribosomal RNA
Source: RNAcentral